Molecule: ribosomal RNA, 253 nt
Filed under: uncultured bacterium
Lineage: Bacteria
Description: partial 16S ribosomal RNA
Rfam family: Bacterial small subunit ribosomal RNA
Source: RNAcentral
UACGUAGGGGGCAAGCGUUGUCCGGAAUCAUUGGGCGUAAAGCGCGUGUAGGCGGCCCGGUAAGUCCGCUGUGAAAGUCCAGGGCUCAACCCUGGGAUGCCGGUGGAUACUGUCGGGCUCGAGUCCGGAAGAGGCGAGUGGAAUUCCUGGUGUAGCGGUGAAAUGCGCAGAUAUCAGGAGGAACACCAAUGGCGAAGGCAGCUCGCUGGGACGUUACUGACGCUGAGACGCGAAAGCGUGGGGAGCAAACAGG